AUGGAGGGGCUUUCUCAGGCCUUGAUGAGAAGUAAUCUGCCGGUGAUGGUAGAAUUGGAUUCUCUACAAGCUGUUAGAAUGAUUCAGUCUGGCGACAAUGACAGAUCGGUUUACUCUUCCUUGGUUGAGGAGAUAAAGCUACUCCUAAACCUACAUAGAGCUAGUAUUACUGAUAUUAGACGCUCACAACAUAAGGUUGGCAAUUGUUUGGCUAUCUUUGCUUGUGUGGAAGGCAAAACUAUGAUUUGGCUAGGGUCUGGCCCUCCUCGUGAGGCGAUUGAGUUGAACAAUGUUGAUUGUAAUCCUCUUCUCGUUGAGUAA
RNAcentral lists this ribosomal RNA (321 nucleotides) under Triticum aestivum (bread wheat). Its description in RNAcentral is "partial small subunit ribosomal RNA". Lineage: Eukaryota; Viridiplantae; Streptophyta; Magnoliopsida; Poales; Poaceae. The record is from RNAcentral.